RNAcentral lists this long non-coding RNA (1043 nucleotides) under Marmota monax (woodchuck). The record is from RNAcentral. Lineage: Eukaryota; Metazoa; Chordata; Mammalia; Rodentia; Sciuridae.
GCAAGCAAGCACAUUUACCAUUGGACCAGUUUAGAAUUGUUCUACCUGAUUGUGAAGCUUUUUCUGAAUGAAUAUUUAUUUCCCGAGAUGACAUUCAAUGUUACCUUGAUUGAUGCUCUAGCAUUUACCAUUUCAGUCAAAAUUGCUACAUUUGUAGCCACCGACUCCCCUGUUGAAGUUCACUGAUCACCCUAAGAUCUCCUUCUGCUAUGCAUUCGCUUUUCUAUUGUUGAGAGCAAAUGACUGUUUUCUCCCUGUGGUCUUAGAAAUAAUUCUCCAAACUGUUUUUAUAGACUUUAUUUAGAAACGAGCUCUCCUCUUUACACUGGCAUUCAUCUGUAACUGGAGAUCCAGAUUUUAACACAUCAUUUCCUGUUAUUACUAUAGCAGUAUCAAAAUACUGACCACUUACCAAGAAGUGAAGCAUCCAAAAGACUGAAGCAGAGAGUUCAGCCAGCUAUUUGUUUUUCAACUGUGAAAAUUUACAAGAAUCACAUGUUAAAUGGAUAUGAAGACGAAGUGGAAGAGAGAGCCCUGGUAAAAAGAGUUGGUAAACCAUUCAGGUAUUGAGUUAUAGCACAAUCAGGUGUUUAUCAAAAAUAAUGGAAAGAAAUUCAAUCUGAAAAACAGGGCCUGUUUUUUCAGGGUAGUAUUCAGCAAAGUUUUCUUUCAUUUUUUUCCUAAGCCUUCCAGGCAGUUUAAUACAAAAUUAAUUUCUUGACAUUUUCAAUUGUUAGAUGAGUAACUGGGUGUAAUUUUGACUCCUGUCUUUUAUCUCUCUAUACUAAAUAGCCCUAAGUCCUGCAGCUUCUUUCUCCACAUUAUUACUAAGAGUUUUAUCCCCUUCACAUUGUUCAAGGUCAAUUGCUGGAAACUCCCAGCUGGACAAUUGGCUUUAGUUUAUGCAAAGAUGGAGUUAUCCAAAUAAUUUUCCAUCAUAUGGCUUUUUAUAAAUAUCUACACUAAUCCUAUAUUACUUUAUAAAUUUACCUAUAUAAAUAAAUAUAGAGUCUUUUGAUGUCCCUUCAAGACCAUACAUUGCU